This 343-nucleotide ribosomal RNA is filed under the name uncultured fungus. RNAcentral's name for it is "SSU rRNA". It matches the Rfam family "Eukaryotic small subunit ribosomal RNA", at positions 292 to 636 of the family's 1831-position model. The record is from RNAcentral. Lineage: Eukaryota; Fungi.
GCUUCAUUCAAAUAUCUGCCCUAUCAACUUUCGAUGGUAGGAUAGUGGCCUACCAUGGUUUUAACGGGUAACGGGGAAUAAGGGUUCGAUUCCGGAGAGGGAGCCUGAGAAACGGCUACCACAUCCAAGGAAGGCAGCAGCUGCGCAAAUUACCCAAUCCCGACCGGGGAGGUAGUGACAAUAAAUAACAAUAUAGGGCUCUUUUGGGUCUUAUAAUUGGAAUGAGUACAAUUUAAACCCCUUAACGAGGAACAAUUGGAGGGCAAGUCUGGUGCCAGCAGCCGCGGUAAUUCCAGCUCCAAUAGCGUAUAUUAAAGUGUUGCAGGUAAAAAGCUCGUAGUUG